Molecule: RNA transcript, 1687 nt
Organism: Solanum stenotomum
Lineage: Eukaryota; Viridiplantae; Streptophyta; Magnoliopsida; Solanales; Solanaceae
Gene name: hydroxyproline O-galactosyltransferase HPGT1
Exons: 12
Source: RefSeq, a predicted model, not a curated record
AACGAAAUAUAGAUCCGAACGGGACCCGCCUACACUUAAAUUCCCAGAUAACGUCCCAUUUGGCUCUGAAAUUCAUAAACCCGAACUGAAAACUUCUCUUCACCGUGACGCCAAAUGGAAUCGCACUGAGUCAGAAUUCCUGGAUUGAGAUUUGAGAAGAAGAAAAAAAUGCAGAGCCGGGGAUCCAAUGCCCGGUUCUCAACUAUGGGGAUGCGAUCCCCAAUUUCAUCACUCAUGCUUGCUAUGUUCGCUGCCAUGGCUUCCUUCUAUGUCGCCGGCCGGUUGUGGCAAGAUGCACAAAACAGAGUUUACUUCACGAAAGAGCUGGAUAGAAUAACCGGUCAGGGACACUCUGCAAUAUCCGUUGCAGACACAUUAAAAAUCAUAGAGUGCAGGGAGCAAAGGAAGAAACUAUCUGCCCUAGAAAUGGAACUGACAGCUGCUAGACAGGAAGGAUUCAUCUCCAAACAAUCAUCAGAUAUGUCGAAAACUCCUGAAAAGGGUCCAGUAAUAGUAAUAGGAAUUUUCACAAGUUUUGGGCGCAAAAAUGAUAGAGAUGCUAUAAGGAAGGCAUGGAUGUCAACUGCUUUGAAAAAAAUGGAGGAAAAGAAGGGCAUUGUUGCACGUUUUGUCAUUGGCAGAAGUGCUAAUCGUGGAGACAGCUUGGACAGGAGCAUUGACAGUGAAAACAGUCAAACUAACGAUUUUUUUAUUCUAGAAAAUCAUGUUGAGGCUCCGGAAGAACUCUCCAAGAAAACAAAGCUAUUUUUUGCACAUGCAGCAGACAGCUGGACUGCCGAUUAUUAUGCAAAAGUCAAUGACAAUGUCUUUGUAAACCUUGAUUCCUUGGGAAAUACACUUGCGUCGUAUUUGAGUGACCCUCGUGUAUAUAUUGGGUGCAUGAAAUCAGGCGAAGUUUUCUCUGAACAGGGCCACAAAUGGUAUGAACCAGAUUGGUGGAAAUUUGGAGAUGGAAAAACGUACUUUCGUCAUGCUUCUACAGAGCUGUUUGUAAUAUCCCAAGCAUUGGCUCGAUACAUUUCUAUAAAUAGUAAGCCCCGACUUGAAUUGCAGAUCCCUACUCCGUACUUAUGCACAUGAUGAUGUCAGUGUUGGGUCCUGGUUUAUUGGUGCCGAUGUCAAACAUGUAGAUGACAGAAAGUUUUGCUGUUCGUCUUGGUCAUCAGGAGCCAUUUGUUCAGGAGUGUGAUUUAACUUGACUGAAAGGUUCAAGAGAUAUUCAGAGUGGCAUGCUUGUUGAUUCCCUUGGUUCAUUGUUAGCAUUGUUUCAUCACAGUGGGUUUUUGGUAACGCAUCUCUGUUAGGGGCUCUUCUGAAGUUCAUUCCUUAAUCAGAAAACAUAUGUAGAUCACGGAGCUGCUAGAAUUGUGAGGAUUCUUUUCCUAUGUAAAUAACCCAUAAAUAAUACAUAUGAUAUAUGUGCAUCCAUUCUUUAGGAAGUCGGGGCAUUUAGCCCCAACCCCUAGGCUUGUCAGGGUCAGACACUAAUUUUACCAUAUUAAGAUAUGUUCAUUGCUUAUUCUUUGAGAAGCAAAAGGGGGAUACGGGAUACAUGUGUGAAUUUUAGGAUAAUGUACUUCCUAUAGUGAAGACUGAAUAGUUCAUGUAGAUGGAAUUUCGCCAAAGAAAAUGACCUUUUAUAUGUAUUUCUUUUUUUCAUUUUUAG